This is a long non-coding RNA of Numida meleagris (helmeted guineafowl), 1148 nucleotides long. RefSeq lists it as uncharacterized. The transcript has 2 exons. The record is from RefSeq and is a predicted model, not a curated record. Lineage: Eukaryota; Metazoa; Chordata; Aves; Galliformes; Numididae.
CCCCAUGAGCCCAUUCCUGGCGCAGGCCAAGGGGAGGCAGAAGCGGGUGAAGGCGGUGAUGGACUGCAAGGGAGACAAGGCGCGGGAGCUGACCUUCUCCAAGGGGGAGGUGAUCGUGGUGACGCGGGAGGAGGACGAGCAGAGCUGGGUCGGCUUCAUUGAAGGUGACGGCUCUCGCACCGGUGUGUUCCCUGCCAGCUUCGUGCACCUCCUGCAGGACUGACCGCGUCCCCAUCGCCCGCUCCGUCCCCAUCCCCGUGGGGUUGGUGGCACUCGGGGCGGGCUGGUGGCCGCCCUCCGUCCCCUCUCUGCUGCCAUCCCCUCCACCUGGCAUCGGGUCCGUGACACGGGACCGUGCUGGACGCUGCCCUCCAGGGGGACUUGGGGACCCCCGCCGUGGGAAGAUCCCCCCUGGAUGGUGGCUUUGGAGGGCCCAAGGGCUGCCACCCCCCGUGCAGCCAUCGGGCAGAGAACGGACGCGCUCGCUGCACUGGUGGCAUAAGGCUUCAGCUCCUUGUGCCACGCUGUCCUCUGUGGGCUCAGCCCAUCCCAGGGCUGCAGGGAUUUGGGGCUGGGCGCUGCCCCUCACCUUCCUUUCCCGAGGGGGAGGGGGGACACGCAGUCCCCCCCCGUCCCCAUCCUGCUGGGGUCAGCUGCCGUGUGCCACUUCUGCCACAACUGUGAAUUGUUUGGGUUUGGUAGGAAACAAGAUAAGGCUUUUCUCCAUCAUUUUAGGGAUUUGAGGAGGGGGGGUUGCAGCUACAGCCUGCCCCCUCCCCACGGUCUCUGAGUCCUCCAGGGCAGCAGGGCUGGGAAAUGCCUAAACUCCUCUCCAAAACCCCUACCCACGUCCUUUGGGUGGAAGGGGCUGCACUGCAGAGCUGUGGCCCUCCCCGGGUGGGUGCUGGUCACCGCCUGGCCAUGGGGGGCUCAACGGGGGUGGGGGGGAAGGGAGGAUGUUCUAUGGGACCCUUCUGCAGCCACUUUCUGGGACCAACGUUCCCUCGUCCCCGUGAUUUAUCCUCAUCCCCAUCGUUGUGCGUCGGACGUUUCAUCUCAAAAGAAACAGAACUCUUUUGUUUUUAUUCAUUUGUUUUUCACCUUUUCUCUCUCUAAUUUCUAAUAAAACCAUCGUUGUUUUGGUUUUU